This 471-nucleotide ribosomal RNA is filed under the name uncultured bacterium. RNAcentral's name for it is "bacterial SSU rRNA". It matches the Rfam family "Bacterial small subunit ribosomal RNA", at positions 9 to 510 of the family's 1533-position model. The record is from RNAcentral.
GAGUUUGAUCGUGGCUCAGAAUCAACGCUGGCGGCGUGCCUAACACAUGCAAGUCGAACGAGAAAGUGGAGCAAUCCAUGAGUAAAGUGGCGCACGGGUGAGUAACACGUGACUAACCUACCCUUGAGUGGGGAAUAACCUCGGGAAACCGGGGCUAAUACCGCAUAAUACCUUCGGGUCAAAGGAGCAAUUCGCUUAAGGAGGGGUCGCGGCUGAUUAGCUAGUUGGUGGGGUAAUGGCCUACCAAGGCAAUGAUCAGUAUCCGGCCUGAGAGGGCGCACGGACACACUGGAACUGAAACACGGUCCAGACUCCUACGGGAGGCAGCAGUGGGGAAUUUUGCACAAUGGGGGAAACCCGUGAUGUAGCAACGCCGCGUGGAGGAUGAAGUCCCUUGGGAUGUAAACUCCUUUCGUACCGGGACGAUAAUGACCGGUACGGUGGAAGAAGACCCCGGCUAACUCUGUGCCA